GACGAACGCUGGCGGCGCGCCUAACACAUGCAAGUCGAACGAGCGAGCGAGAGCUUGCUUUCUCGAGCGAGUGGCGAACGGGUGAGUAACGCGUGAGGAACCUGCCUCAAAGAGGGGGACAACAGUUGGAAACGACUGCUAAUACCGCAUAAGCCCACGGGUCGGCAUCGACCAGAGGGAAAAGGAGCAAUCCGCUUUGAGAUGGCCUCGCGUCCGAUUAGCUAGUUGGUGAGGUAAUGGCCCACCAAGGCGACGAUCGGUAGCCGGACUGAGAGGUUGAACGGCCACAUUGGGACUGAGACACGGCCCAGACUCCUACGGGAGGCAGCAGUGGGGAAUAUUGCACAAUGGGGGAAACCCUGAUGCAGCGACGCCGCGUGGAGGAAGAAGGUCUUCGGAUUGUAAACUCCUGUUGUUGGGGAAGAUAAUGACGGUACCCAACAAGGAAGUGACGGCUAACUGCGUG
RNAcentral lists this ribosomal RNA (466 nucleotides) under uncultured bacterium. Its description in RNAcentral is "partial 16S ribosomal RNA". It matches the Rfam family "Bacterial small subunit ribosomal RNA", at positions 28 to 507 of the family's 1533-position model. The record is from RNAcentral.